This 119-nucleotide ribosomal RNA is filed under the name Olea europaea subsp. europaea. Lineage: Eukaryota; Viridiplantae; Streptophyta; Magnoliopsida; Lamiales; Oleaceae. The record is from RNAcentral.
GGGUGUGACCAUACCAGCACUAACGCACCGGAUCCCAUCAGAACUCCGAAGUUAAGCAUGCUUGGGCGAGAGUAGUACUAGGAUGGGUGACCCCCUGGGAAGUCCUCGUGUUGCACCCU